CCAGGUUGGAUGGGGCCCUGGGCACAUGCACAGUAAGCAGAUUGGCUUACAUAUUCAUUGUUUUCCAAAAAGUCCUUAAUAGAUGCUAAUGUCCCUCUGGGCAUACGCGGUAGGACCUCUGGUGGUCUUUGACCACUUACUUCCUCCUCAUUUUUCCAACAUCAUCUUCAUCACAAUGACAUUCAGCCAACCUUUAGCUGUUUUUUCUCACUUUGACAAGUUUCCAUGGCUUGUCACGCCAUAAUGAGCAACUUUCUAUCUUGGUGCACUAUAACCCUAAACAACGCAUGUGAGAUCCAAGGGAAAAGUCCUUGUGCCUGGUGGGUGCAAAGAUAGAAGUGGUUUAUUGUGACUUCAGUGCUUCCGUGAAGCUUUGCAUCACACAAAGCUAAACUGGAAAGUUUUAGAACCAGCACUCAUUGAUUCCUUUUGCUAAACUAACAUACUGGUCCUUAAACUAAUACGCUGAUCCCUGUUGCUAAACCAGCCUAUAUCAAACUCACAGGUUAAAUCAGCCUUAGUGAAAGAUCCCAGAUAAAAUUACACUUAAUUCCUUAAUCUUUAAUCUGAAUAACAUCUCGAUUUCUUAGGCAUAAACAAGGAAGGCACUCAAAUAGGAUAUGGCUAUUGAGUAGGCACAGGCAGAGAGAAAUCUCCAGAGUUAUUUUUGUGCUAGAGCUUGCCACAGAUUGUCUAGCUGGAAUCUGUUCUCAGCUGCUCCAAGAUCUGCAGUUUUUAUACUUACUGACAUUCUGACAUCCUUUUAUGCACUAAGAUUAUUCAUCCUCUGAAUUUUUUGUAGUAUUUUUUCCUUCACUGACUCCUAAAAAUAAGUAUGAUAUUUAAGAAAGAAUCUUAAUAUUUGAGUACCACCUAUCGAACUAAUAAUGACUCUGCAAUAUUUUGCAUCUUGUGGACAAAAUCCUUGUGUCUGGGUCUGACUUUCACCCCACCAUUCUUUGCAGAUGUUGCUGGAUUCAUACCUGCACAGAUACCAAAGUGCCCAGAAGAAACAGCUUCAUUCAGAUCAUUCACUUAAAACACUUUCUGAAUCCCAUUUGCGUGGGAAUGUCAAACUAAUUCGACUGUCCGGCAUUAAUCCACGUGGCUGUGAGGCUUGGGAUGUCCCACACAUCUGGGCUACAGGGCCUCAUGCACCAGGUGAGGACUGGGAGAUCCAGAGAGUGAGAGAUGCAGAGAUCCUCUCUGCAUUGCCUGCUGUGCAGCAGCAGCUGUGAAACAUGCUCUUCCUCUUAGUCGUGUCUGCUGUGCUUUUAGCAGACUUGGAUUUUCUAGCAGCACGUAAGCAGGCUAACUGGGCAUCAAAGCUGAAGAACAAUUGAAAGCUGUUAAGUGCAAUUUAAAAAAUAGAAAAUAUACCAAACAUGUCUUGCGGCAGCUUUAGAAGAGCUCUGGGAGCACAUUAGCCUGGGUGAAGCAUGAAAGAGCGAGGAAUAAAGGUUCUACUUAGUUGCUCUUUUAUUCACUCCCUCAUCCCACUUGGGAGGGGGGCAAUGAGCGAAUGACUGUGCAGCGCUGAGCUACCUGCCAGGUUAAACCACAACAGUAUCCCAUAGAAAGGACCUGCCUCGGAGCAAUCCUGAACAGUGGUACCCCACAGGAGAGACCCCGUGCUUGAGUAGGGGAAGUGCAUGAGGAGGAAGGAGCAGCAGAGAGGAGCUGUAAUGGACUGAGCACAGACACCAUUCCCAUUCCUCAUGUACCACUCAGGGGGAGGAGCUGGCAGUGAAGCUGAGCCUGGAACCUGAGGUAAUUGCCUUCUAACUCUCUUCUAAUAAAGAAAUCAUAGCAGAAGACAAGAACAUUUCAUGCAUAUUAAGAAAAUAAAAAUGCAAAUCUAUCAUACUCAGUUCUACUGAAAGAGAGAGAGGAUCUUCUCAGACAUGCAACAGCUUCAAAAGCCUUAGAUCCCAGCUGCAGUGGAGAUGGAGACAGCAUCUGUACUUAGUAAAAUGGUAAAUGUAGCACCUGGGAAAUGUGAAGAAUGGACACUGAUGACUUCUGGAAAGAAGGUUCCUGUUCCACCUAAAGGCCCAUAGCUAUCGAACACGGUGAGGAGGAGCCAGGUUUGUUCUUAAGCCACGCAUCACAGUCAGCAGACCAUUAGGACUGCAGCGAGAAGAAGCAAGUGACAGCAGUGGGCAGCUCCCAACUUCCAGGAAUUGACACCCAUCUGCCAACCUGACCUACUGUCUGCAGAAGUCUGCUCCUUGCUGGGCCCUAAACCUGGAUUGUUGUAGAGAUACUGCUGAGGCUUGUCCAACCCUCUAAAUACAAUCAUAGAAUGACUUGGGUUGGAAGUGAUACUGCCAAGGAUAAUGUGGACAGUAUUGAAAGUGGCCACCAAGCCCUGAAGGAGGUAGUAAAGGGCAGGGGGUCUUUUACCACCUGUUAAGGUCUGCUUGCAGAGCUAAUGUCAGCAACAGUGGUGGAUUAAGAAUUGGUUGGCUGGUUGAAGCCAAAGGGUUGUGAUCAAUGGGUCUGUGUCAGGGUGGAGGCUGGUCACAAGCAGUGUCCCUCGGGGGUCGGUCUUGGGACCGGUGCUCUUCAACAUCUUCAUCAGUGACACAGACAGUGGCAUCGAGUGCACACUCAGCAAGUUUGCAGUUGACACCAAGCUGAGUGGUGCAGUCGAUACGUUGGAAGGAAGGGAAGCCAUCCAGAUGGACCUGGAGAAGUGAGCCCAUGAAAACCUAAUGAGGUUCAAGAAGGCCAAGUGCAGGGUGCUGCGUUUGGGUUGGGGCAAUCCCAGGUAUUUAUGCAGACUGGGGAAAGAUCUCCUUGAGAGCAGCCCUGUGGAGAAGGACUUGGGUGUCCUGGUGGAUGAUAAGCUGGACAUGAGCCAGCAGUGUGCACGUGCAGCCCAGAAGACCAACUGUGUUCUGGGCUGCAUUAAAAAAGGGGUGGCCAGCAGGGAGAGGGAGGUGAUUGUGCCCCUCUACUCAGCUCUUGUGAGGCCCCAUCUGCAGUAAUGCAUCCAGGCCUGGAGCCCCCAGUACAGGAAGGACGUGGAGCUCUUGGAGUGGGUCCAGAGGAGGGCCACUAAGAUGAUUGCUUUCAGAGAGCAAUUUUUCAGAGAUUGCUUUUACUCUCAGUCUUUCACUGAUGCUGCAACUAAAGUCAAGGUAAACAGGUUAUUAUGUUAUGUUUCUUCCAGAUAUGGUAUUGGAACAACGCAGAGGCUACGCUAGUUGCUUCUGACCAGUUUUCAGAUGACCCAAUAAAUGUAUUAGUCUCAAGGCAGUGAUUAGAAAGGAGUAAGCUUACCCUGUUCUGAAGAUAAGGGGUUGCUGGAAAACUCCCAGAAGGAAGCAAUCUCCAGAACUAAAGAACUAAAGAAGUUUCCCUCUUGGCAGACAGCCCUUAAAUCAGGUUAGGGAGAGGUGGACCCAGGGUAGGGUGGGUGAACUGCCUGAACCUGUGCACCCAGGGCUGGCCAUGCCUCUUUAACAGGUGCACCGCUGCUGAUUUGGGCCAUGAUCUAACAAUUCCCAUACAAUACCCAGUAGAUAUUUUCUCAAAUAUGUCUUCAGUUCUCACAUGGAAUAAAACAUGGUAAAAGGUUCCAAAUAGUCAAGAAUAAAAAAAAUAAAAAUAAAAAAAAGGAGGGAGCUGUCAUGUAACGAGAGCUGUAGAGUGAUGUUAACCACACUCAUCUAAUGUAGGCGGAUGGGGACAUUAAGACAACACGGUUGGAGUUAAUGGAAAGUUCCAAAGUUCCAGCUGUGAUAAAAUGUAUGCAUAUGAAGAGACGGGUUUUUUUUUACCUAGUAUGUCUUUGUUGAGUAUUAUACAAUUUCUCUGUAAAUAUUCUUCCGUUUAAGUUCACCUCUAAUUCCACUGCUGC
Gallus gallus (chicken) is the source of this 3868-nucleotide long non-coding RNA. The record is from Ensembl. NCBI's taxonomy places the organism in Eukaryota, Metazoa, Chordata, Aves, Galliformes, Phasianidae.